This 797-nucleotide ribosomal RNA is filed under the name Bacillus sp. (in: firmicutes). Its description in RNAcentral is "bacterial SSU rRNA". It matches the Rfam family "Bacterial small subunit ribosomal RNA", at positions 49 to 825 of the family's 1533-position model. The record is from RNAcentral. Lineage: Bacteria; Bacillati; Bacillota; Bacilli; Caryophanales; Bacillaceae.
ACUCUCAUGCAGUCGUGACGAGGAGAGAUGCGGAGCUUGCUCCCUGAUGUUAGCGGCGGACGGGUGAGUAACACGUGGGUAACCUGCCUGUAAGACUGGGAUAACUCCGGGAAACCGGGGCUAAUACCGGAUGGUUGUUUGAACCGCAUGGUUCAAACAUAAAAGGUGGCUUCGGCUACCACUUACAGAUGGACCCGCGGCGCAUUAGCUAGUUGGUGAGGUAAUGGCUCACCAAGGCAACGAUGCGUAGCCGACCUGAGAGGGUGAUCGGCCACACUGGGACUGAGACACGGCCCAGACUCCUACGGGAGGCAGCAGUAGGGAAUCUUCCGCAAUGGACGAAAGUCUGACGGAGCAACGCCGCGUGAGUGAUGAAGGUUUUCGGAUCGUAAAGCUCUGUUGUUAGGGAAGAACAAGUACCGUUCGAAUAGGGCGGUACCUUGACGGUACCUAACCAGAAAGCCACGGCUAACUACGUGCCAGCAGCCGCGGUAAUACGUAGGUGGCAAGCGUUGUCCGGAAUUAUUGGGCGUAAAGGGCUCGCAGGCGGUUUCUUAAGUCUGAUGUGAAAGCCCCCGGCUCAACCGGGGAGGGUCAUUGGAAACUGGGGAACUUGAGUGCAGAAGAGGAGAGUGGAAUUCCACGUGUAGCGGUGAAAUGCGUAGAGAUGUGGAGGAACACCAGUGGCGAAGGCGACUCUCUGGUCUGUAACUGACGCUGAGGAGCGAAAGCGUGGGGAGCGAACAGGAUUAGAUACCCUGGUAGUCCACGCCGUAAACGAUGAGUGCUAAGUGUUA